GUUACUGCACUGACUGUCCACACGUGCGUUUCUGUUCUACACUACAGUCAGAAAGUCUAGCAGCAUGAACAUUCUGCAGAAUUUGUCCAUUUAUGCUCCACCGAAGAAAGAAAGUCAUAUGGAUUAGGAACAACAUGAAGAGAGACACAUGCCAGCUCUUACAGUACACGUCACUGUGAGCCCAAGCGCUCUGUUGUACGUCUGACUGAAUGGAGGCUUCAGACAAAACAACACUCUUUUAUAAUGGACGAGCAGCUACAGUGUGCAUCUAAAA
Molecule: long non-coding RNA, 274 nt
Organism: Megalobrama amblycephala (Wuchang bream)
Lineage: Eukaryota; Metazoa; Chordata; Actinopteri; Cypriniformes; Xenocyprididae
Exons: 3
Source: RefSeq, a predicted model, not a curated record